This 308-nucleotide ribosomal RNA is filed under the name Ehrlichia ewingii. RNAcentral's name for it is "bacterial SSU rRNA". It matches the Rfam family "Bacterial small subunit ribosomal RNA", at positions 104 to 429 of the family's 1533-position model. Lineage: Bacteria; Pseudomonadati; Pseudomonadota; Alphaproteobacteria; Rickettsiales; Anaplasmataceae. The record is from RNAcentral.
GGGUGAGUAAUGCGUAGGAAUCUACCUAGUAGUAUGGAAUAGCCAUUAGAAAUGAUGGGUAAUACUGUAUAAUCCCUGCGGGGGAAAGAUUUAUCGCUAUUAGAUGAGCCUACGUUAGAUUAGCUAGUUGGUAAGGUAAUGGCUUACCAAGGCUAUGAUCUAUAGCUGGUCUGAGAGGACGAUCAGCCACACUGGAACUGAGAUACGGUCCAGACUCCUACGGGAGGCAGCAGUGGGGAAUAUUGGACAAUGGGCGAAAGCCUGAUCCAGCUAUGCCGCGUGAGUGAAGAAGGCCUUCGGGUUGUAAA